CGACACACUAUCGUUAACUGAAUACAUAGGUUAACGAGGCGAACCGGGGGAACUGAAACAUCUAAGUACCCCGAGGAAAAGAAAUCAACCGAGAUUCCCCCAGUAGCGGCGAGCGAACGGGGAGCAGCCCGGAGUCUGAAUCAGCUUGUGUGUUAGUGGAACGGUCUGGAAAGUCCGACGGUACAGGGUGAUAGUCCCGUACACGAAAACACACUUGCUGUGAACUCGAAGAGUAGGGCGGGACACGUGGUAUCCUGUCUGAAUAUGGGGGGACCAUCCUCCAAGGCUAAAUACUCCUGACUGACCGAUAGUGAACCAGUACCGUGAGGGAAAGGCGAAAAGAACCCCGGCGAGGGGAGUGAAAAAGAACCUGAAACCGUGUACGUACAAGCAGUGGGAGCCUCUUUAUGGGGUGACUGCGUACCUUUUGUAUAAUGGGUCAGCGACUUAUAUUCUGUAGCAAGGUUAACCGUAUAGGGGAGCCGAAGGGAAACCGAGUCUUAACUGGGCGUUAAGUUGCAGGGUAUAGACCCGAAACCCGGUGAUCUAGCCAUGGGCAGGUUGAAGGUUGGGUAACACUAACUGGAGGACCGAACCGACUAAUGUUGAAAAAUUAGCGGAUGACCUGUGGCUGGGGGUGAAAGGCCAAUCAAACCGGGAGAUAGCUGGUUCUCCCCGAAAGCUAUUUAGGUAGCGCCUCGUGAACUCAUCUUCGGGGGUAGAGCACUGUUUCGGCUAGGGGGCCAUCCCGGCUUACCAACCCGAUGCAAACUACGAAUACCGAAGAAUGUUAUCACGGGAGACACACGGCGGGUGCUAACGUCCGUCGUGAAGAGGGAAACAACCCAGACCGCCAGCUAAGGUCCCAAAGUCAUGGUUAAGUGGGAAACGAUGUGGGAAGGCACAGACAGCCAGGAUGUUGGCUUAGAAGCAGCCAUCAUUUAAAGAAAGCGUAAUAGCUCACUGGUCGAGUCGGCCUGCGCGGAAGAUGUAACGGGGCUAAACCAUGCACCGAAGCUGCGGCAGCGACACUAUGUGUUGUUGGGUAGGGGAGCGUUCUGUAAGCCGUUGAAGGUGUGCUGUGAGGCAUGCUGGAGGUAUCAGAAGUGCGAAUGCUGACAUAAGUAACGAUAAAGCGGGUGAAAAGCCCGCUCGCCGGAAGACCAAGGGUUCCUGUCCAACGUUAAUCGGGGCAGGGUGAGUCGACCCCUAAGGCGAGGCCGAAAGGCGUAGUCGAUGGGAAACAGGUUAAUAUUCCUGUACUUGGUGUUACUGCGAAGGGGGGACGGAGAAGGCUAUGUCAGCCGGGCGACGGUUGUCCCGGUUUAAGCAUGUAGGCGGAGGUUCCAGGUAAAUCCGGUACCUUUUAACGCUGAGGUGUGAUGACGAGGCACUACGGUGCUGAAGUGAUAAAUGCCCUGCUUCCAGGAAAAGCCUCUAAGCAUCAGGUAACACGAAAUCGUACCCCAAACCGACACAGGUGGUCAGGUAGAGAAUACCAAGGCGCUUGAGAGAACUCGGGUGAAGGAACUAGGCAAAAUGGUGCCGUAACUUCGGGAGAAGGCACGCUGAUAUGUAGGUGAAGCCCCUGCGGGCGGAGCUGAAAUCAGUCGAAGAUACCAGCUGGCUGCAACUGUUUAUUAAAAACACAGCACUGUGCAAACACGAAAGUGGACGUAUACGGUGUGACGCCUGCCCGGUGCCGGAAGGUUAAUUGAUGGGGUUAGCGGCAACGCGAAGCUCUUGAUCGAAGCCCCGGUAAACGGCGGCCGUAACUAUAACGGUCCUAAGGUAGCGAAAUUCCUUGUCGGGUAAGUUCCGACCUGCACGAAUGGCGUAAUGAUGGCCAGGCUGUCUCCACCCGAGACUCAGUGAAAUUGAACUCGCUGUGAAGAUGCAGUGUACCCGCGGCAAGACGGAAAGACCCCGUGAACCUUUACUAUAGCUUGACACUGAACACUGGUCCUUGAUGUGUAGGAUAGGUGGGAGGCUUUGAAGCGUGGACGCCAGUCUGCGUGGAGCCAUCCUUGAAAUACCACCCUUUAAUGGCUGGUGUUCUAACGUAGACCCGUGAUCCGGGUUGCGGACAGUGUCUGGUGGGUAGUUUGACUGGGGCGGUCUCCUCCCAAAGAGUAACGGAGGAGCACGAAGGUUGGCUAAUCCUGGUCGGACAUCAGGAGGUUAGUGCAAUGGCAUAAGCCAGCUUGACUGCGAGCGUGACGGCGCGAGCAGGUGCGAAAGCAGGUCAUAGUGAUCCGGUGGUUCUGAAUGGAAGGGCCAUCGCUCAACGGAUAAAAGGUACUCCGGGGAUAACAGGCUGAUACCGCCCAAGAGUUCAUAUCGACGGCGGUGUUUGGCACCUCGAUGUCGGCUCAUCACAUCCUGGGGCUGAAGUAGGUCCCAAGGGUAUGGCUGUUCGCCAUUUAAAGUGGUACGCGAGCUGGGUUUAGAACGUCGUGAGACAGUUCGGUCCCUAUCUGCCGUGGGCGCUGGAGAAUUGAGGGGGGCUGCUCCUAGUACGAGAGGACCGGAGUGGACGCAUCACUGGUGUUCGGGUUGUCAUGCCAAUGGCACUGCCCGGUAGCUAAAUGCGGAAGAGAUAAGUGCUGAAAGCAUCUAAGCACGAAACUUGCCCCGAGAUGAGUUCUCCCUGAGACUUUAAGUCUCCUGAAGGAACGUUGAAGACGACGACGUUGAUAGGUCGGGUGUGUAAGCGCAGCGAUGCGUUGAGCUAACCGAUACUAAUGAACCGUGAGGCUUAACCUUACAACGCCGAAGGUGUUU
This 2784-nucleotide ribosomal RNA is filed under the name Enterobacter hormaechei subsp. oharae. RNAcentral describes it as "bacterial LSU rRNA". It matches the Rfam family "Bacterial large subunit ribosomal RNA". The record is from RNAcentral. Lineage: Bacteria; Pseudomonadati; Pseudomonadota; Gammaproteobacteria; Enterobacterales; Enterobacteriaceae.